UAGGACCUUUAUCGACCUGUUGCUGUUAUGCUGCAUUUUCACCAUAAAUGUGCAAUAUUUCUAGGUUAGAAAAGUCAUUGUUGACUAUUCAAGUCAUUACACGCAAUUUGCUUGGUACCGUGACUUAGACUAAAAAACCUCCUAUAAAUUUCAUACAAUUAUCUAUAAUUGUUGACAAGUUGUGAAAAAUAUCAAUGUUCUAUAAUUGAUUCUUCAAAUAAGCUCAACCAUUGCUUCAUUCUCGAUCACUUUCAUAAUCACUUUCAAACAGGUCUCCGAUGAGUUUCUUCAUCAACUAAGGCCUUGAGCGAAGCCACUUGGAGAAAUUUCAUUGUUGCCUCAUGGAUCCUGAAAUGUGGAAGGAAAAGGGUGCAAAUGAAUCAUAUUCUUCACAUCAUGCAUGCUGACAAUUAGGGUUAGAUUGUUCUACCAUCUUAGAUCUCAUGUUAAGCUUCAAUUUUAAAUCGGAAAGAAUUAUUUGUUUCUUUGUUUUUUUUUUUCCUUUUUAGCGAUCACUCAUUGUGUUUGGUAACAUUUUAUUGCCAUAAAAUCAAAGAUUUCAAUUUUCAAAACUUUGUACUAUAUUAUUCCAACAUCAUCUCAUAUAUCAUCAUUGACUUACCACAAUUGUAUAAGAGCAAAAACAUGAAUGAUGAGCUUCAACUUUAAAUUGAAAAGAAUUAUUCGUUUCUUCAUGCUUUUUUUUUUCUUGCCUCUUUGUCAUCAUUCAUUGCGUUUGGCAAUUGUAGUAUCAUAAAAUCAAAAUUUUCAAUUUUCAGGGGUUUUUACUAUAUUGUACCAACAUCAUCUCAUAUAUUAUCAUUGGCUUAAUUACCAGAAGUGUGUGGGAGCAUAAACAUUUCUAUCGAGAUGGUUUAAAUGGCAUUAUUAAAAACCUUUUUUCAAUGAUUAUAAUAAUUAAUUUUAAAUCAAUUAAAGCUAACGUAUAAUAGAGAAUUGUUAAAAUAAAUUAUCCAUCCUCUUAUUAUCAGUUAAUUUUAGGUUGAAUUCCCAUCAUAAAAUUUUCUACCUGGGAGAGGAAGUGAGAUUCAAAGCAGAGAAUUGGAAAAGGAAGAGAUCUUAGAAAUUUCUUUGCAAUUAAUGUAUAGAAAACAUGAAAGGACAGACCUUUAGUAAUCAGUUAUCUUUCUUUCUAAAGUCUAGAAGUAGGAAAAAUAAAAGGUUAGGAAGUGCAGAAGAACAAGCACCAAAAUACAGGAAAAAUCAAAGUCAAUCAGUGCUGCAGCCUCUUUCCCUUUCUUGAAGAAAAUUUGGCUACAAUGUGAACACCGAGGCAGGGAGAGAAGACAAUGAGAAACUUGGCUGAGUUUUCUGGGCCAGCAAAAGAGUAAGAAAAGCCAGGAAAGUAUUGAAGUAAAUUUCAUUAGCCAAGAAACAUGGACCAUAUGAAAAAUUGUUCCCACGGUAGGACCUUUAUCGACCUGUUGCUGUUAUGCUGCAUUUUCACCAUAAAUGUGCAAUAUUUCUAGGUUAGAAAAGUCAUUGUUGACUAUUCAAGUCAUUACACGCAAUUUGCUUGGUACCGUGACUUAGACUAAAAAACCUCCUAUAAAUUUCAUACAAUUAUCUAUAAUUGUUGACAAGUUGUGAAAAAUAUCAAUGUUCUAUAAUUGAUUCUUCAAAUAAGCUCAACCAUUGCUUCAUUCUCGAUCGCUUUCAUAAUCACUUUCAAACAGGUCUCCAAUGAGUUUCUUCGUCAACUAAGGCCUUGAGCAAAGCCACUUUGAGAAAUUUCAUUGUUGCCUCAUGGAUCCUGAAAUGUGGAAGGAAAAGGGUGCAAAUGAAUCAUAUUCUUCACAUCAUGCAUGCUGACAAUUAGGGUUAGAUUGUUCUACCAUCUUAGAUCUCAUGUUAAG
Molecule: long non-coding RNA, 1877 nt
Filed under: Durio zibethinus
Lineage: Eukaryota; Viridiplantae; Streptophyta; Magnoliopsida; Malvales; Malvaceae
Description: long non-coding RNA (DZIB_LNC001090)
Source: RNAcentral